GAUUCAUUGGAGGGCAGUUUGGUCAGCAGCCGCGGUAUUCAGUCAAUGGUAAUUAGUGUUGCAGUAAAGCUGUGAGUGGAUUCGGGCGUUGAGCGGUCAGCUCAAGGAGUCAAUGCUUGGCAUCCGUACAUUCUGGAGGCAUAACUAUGGGUCAAUGAGUCCGAGGGCGUAGGGGUACGCUAGUCAUCUACUGAGGAACAUAAGUAGGGUGUAAGCAGCAGUCCUACGCGAUGAAUCAGCAGCAUGAACUAGCUACGAUACUGGUCCCUUGAUUUUGUUUGUCGGUAGACUACCGAGGAUAGAGUAAUGAUAGAGCACAGUGGGGCAUAUUCGUAUUCAUUUUGUCAGAGGGAGAAUCUUUGGAUUUGUAGGAAGACGAUCUAGUGAAAACGCUUUCAACAGGGAUGUUCUCUAUUCUCAAGAAAGAGAGGGAGGGUAUAGGAGAUGAUGAGACACUAUUGGUGUCAUAACCAUAAGCUACGCAGUAUAGGGAGGGGGGGGUGUUAUCAGCGAUUCCAUCAGCACCUUAUGAGAAAUCAAAGUCUUUGGGUUCCGGGGGGAGUAUGGUCGCAAGGCUGAAACUUAAAGAAAUUGACGGAAGGGCACCACCGGGAGGGGACCUUGCGGCUUAUUUUGACUCACCACGGAGAAACUUCCCAGGUCCAGACAUAGAGAGGAUUGACAGAUUGAGACUUCUUUUUGGUUUUUAUGGGUGGUGGUGCAUGCCCGUUUUUAGUGGGGGGAGGGAUUUUAGGGUUAAUUCCGUAAACAAACGAGACUCCCCCCUGCUAACUAGUCGCCUUAAUGCCCGGCAUUGAGGUGUACUUUUUAGGAGGGACAGUCGGUGAUUAAUCAAAGGAAGUUGGGGGCAAUAACAGGUCUGUGAUGCCCUUAGAUGUCCUGGGCCGCACGCGCGCUACACUGACACACGCAACAAGCUUUCCCUUGCGAAAAGUCUGGGUUAUUUUGUAAAUGUGUGUCGUGAUGGGGAUAGAUUAUUGCAAUUAUUAAUCUUGAACGAGGAAUUCCUAGUAAAUGCGGGUCAUCAGCCCGCGUUGAUUACGUCCCUGCCCUUUGUACACACCGCCCGUCGCACCUACCGAUUGGGUGAUUCGGUGAAACCUUCGGAUUGCAACAAGACGCUCUCGGCCCCUCGGCCGCGGGAAGUUAUUACACCUUCAUCUUCUAGCGGACGGGGCUGUUUUUUAACA
This 1211-nucleotide ribosomal RNA is filed under the name Poterioochromonas sp. NTNV03. RNAcentral describes it as "SSU rRNA". It matches the Rfam family "Eukaryotic small subunit ribosomal RNA", at positions 539 to 1796 of the family's 1831-position model. The record is from RNAcentral. Lineage: Eukaryota; Synurophyceae; Ochromonadales; Ochromonadaceae.